UACGGAGGAUGCAAGCGUUAUCCGGAUUUGUUGGGUUUAAAGGGUGCGUAGGCGGACUUUUAAGCGUGAGGUGAAAUGCCACAGCUCAACUGUGGAACUGCCUCGCGAACUGGGAGUCUGGAAUGUCCGUGCCGUGGGAGGAAUGUGUGGUGUAGCGGUGAAAUGCAUAGAGAUCACACAGAACACCGAUUGCGAAGGCAUCUCACGAACGGAUGAUUGACGCUGAGGCACGAAAGUGUGGGGAUCAAAC
Molecule: ribosomal RNA, 250 nt
Filed under: uncultured prokaryote
Description: partial 16S ribosomal RNA
Rfam family: Bacterial small subunit ribosomal RNA
Source: RNAcentral